Molecule: non-coding RNA, 108 nt
Organism: Acanthosepion pharaonis
Lineage: Eukaryota; Metazoa; Mollusca; Cephalopoda; Sepiida; Sepiidae
Source: the annotation of a GenBank genome assembly
GCCAUAUCUCGUUGAAACACCGGUUGCCAUAGGAUCACCGAAGAUAAACGACGUUGAAUCUGGUCAGUACUUAGAUGAUUGACCGCUUGGGAAUAUCAGGUGCUGUUA